GGCAUUGGCGCAUCUGGGAACCGACGUCCGUGCGCGGCUGGCUAGAAUGCUGGACUCGCCUCCGCAGCGCUGGCCUGCAGGGAUUAGAAGACAUGUGGGGUCAAGGAACAGGAAGCUGACCUGGAUGGAAGUUGAACAGUGAUCUUUGCUCUCUGCCUGGCUCCUGAGUCCUCUGCCAUGUUCCUGGAGAAGAGGAGCCAGCCAGGCCCUCAUCUCACUCUCCCAGAGCCCCAGAGCACACCAAUGGACACCAUCACCUCUCGGGCAGAUCAGCACAGAGACGUGAAGCACACAGGCAGCUGCUGGAAAAAUAACAAGGAAUUGCAAUGGUGUGCCCCUCCGUUGAAUGCAAGCUCUCUUCUGCCUUCUCACCUUGGGCAAGUUACCUUCCGUUCCAGGCCUCGGUUUCUCCAUGUGUGAAAUGAAAGGGCUGGAGAGAAAUCUCUCACUAUUCCCCAAUCUACAUUCAUUGUAUCCCAAACCUUCUAAUAUCUGUUCAACGAAGUGUACCAAAUCUCAGCUAUUGGACUGAGACUCAGGGGUCUAUCUGACUUGAAUUGAAAAUGCAAAUUACUGAAGAGGGAGGGAGGGAGGAGUGCUGAAGAUUGAAUGGAUUUAUCAGAUUUCCUUCUCCUAUGGCCCAGAUGCAGGCCUAGUCCAGGCGAUUCCCCUGGCUCAGAAUCUGCCAGGCUCAAGCAUUCAUUGACAGCCUACUAUGUACCAAUCCUGGGCUGAGUCCCAACCCGGGGAUGACUUAGAGGAGGCCAGGAUGUGGCCUCAUGUUCUGGUUGCUCUCACAUUUAAACAGGCUAAACCCACUUUGCAUUGUAUGUUAGGGGUGGUGCUUGUGGGACAAAGGGGGCUGUCAGAACAUUCUGGCUGCCACAUGAAGUUGACUUUGCCAGGACAGACUGGGUUGUGGGGGAAGGCAGCUACUGUAAUAAUUUGGCCAAGAAGUGGGCUGAGCAGGAGCAGGGCUGAGGGAGGGAGAGAGGGAAUGAGUAAGAAAGGCCCAGGGUACUGAUUUGACUGGGACUUCAGGGACAGGUGUGGGGCGAGAGGGAUGCUGGAAGUGAAGGAGGGAAAGUGCAGAGGCUUUCUGGGGAUUAAUAGGCAAUGAUCUCUAUGAGGGCGUGGUGAGUAGGCCCCAAACAUCCGGGGACUUCCCUGCCUGCCAUCCCUCUGUCUCUCUCUUCCUUUCCUACUGCCCAGGGCCUGGCCCUGCUGCACAUGCCCUGCCCUGGCCCCCAGAGUCCCCUUCUUUCCUGGCUGGGAGAUUAAGACUCUGCUGUGCCUACAGCAUUCUCAACCUCAAGUCAAGGUGGCCCUUUGGAGCCCAGGAGGCCACAUGGCUGAGUCAGGGCUGAGUCACCACCCCCCAAGGGCCUUGCCAUUUCCUGUGGAGAAGCCUCUUUACUGGCAGGGUUCUGUGCUCAGGUGGGAAAUCUGGAGAGGUCGGGGGCAGGGCUUCAUCUACUUUUACCCACUAACUCCCUAGACACUCCACUGGGGGUAGAGGGUUCCUACACGUAUGAUGAUCAAAACAUGUGUCUGUGCACAUGGGCCCUUAUGCAUUCACAGGUGUUUGCCUAUGCGACUGCAUGUCUGAAUGUUUUAUGUAUAUUUGAAUAUAGAUAGGGAACAAAUAUUUAUGGAGCACAUAUUAUGUGUGCAGCCUUUUACGUGUGUUACUUUCUAAUAACCCUAGGAGGCGUAGAUGCCUCCCAGGCUAUGGUUGAAAAUACUGACAUGCCCAAGGUGCAGGAGGUAUGAAUACCUCCCCACUGUGGCUGGUAACACCCCAGGUUUCUCCAACUCCACAGUGAUGGGCUUUCCUCCAGAGCCGGUUCCUCAGGGGCAGGAGUGAGAAGUGUGUGUGUCUGUAUUUAUCCUUCCACCAGUGGCUGUGAUUGGUCCUGUGGUUGGAAACAGGGUCAAGUAAGGCCCUUGGGAGUAGCUGGGUGAAUGGACGAUGGUGGCGUCCACCUUGGACAUGGCACAUACUUCUGGUCGGGUAUCCACGUGGCUGGCCAACCCGGACCUGCCCUAUUAGGGGCCAUCGCCCUCAUGGCUCAUCAGUGCUGAGUUUCAUUGCCUUCUUCGUAAUGCAAUACUAAUGGAUACAGGCAUGUAUCUGCCGUACACUAGAUGAAAUGUGGUUAUUUGCUCAGGUAGAAAUAAAGACUAAAAUACC
This 2194-nucleotide long non-coding RNA is filed under the name Homo sapiens (human). RNAcentral's name for it is "long non-coding RNA NONHSAT176331.1". Lineage: Eukaryota; Metazoa; Chordata; Mammalia; Primates; Hominidae. The record is from RNAcentral.